This 444-nucleotide ribosomal RNA is filed under the name uncultured bacterium. RNAcentral describes it as "partial 16S ribosomal RNA". It matches the Rfam family "Bacterial small subunit ribosomal RNA", at positions 354 to 796 of the family's 1533-position model. The record is from RNAcentral.
GUAGGGAAUAUUGGGCAAUGGGUGCAAGCCUGACCCAGCCAUGCCGCGUGCAGGAAGACGGCCCUCUGGGUUGUAAACUGCUUUUAUCUGGGAAGAAAAAGGCCAUGCGUGGCAAAUUGCCGGUACCAGAUGAAUAAGCACCGGCUAACUCCGUGCCAGCAGCCGCGGUAAUACGGAGGGUGCGAGCGUUGUCCGGAUUUAUUGGGUUUAAAGGUUGCGUAGGCGGCUGAUUAAGUCAGCGGUGAAAGACUUCGGCUUAACCGGAGCAGUGCCGUUGAUACUGGUUGGCUUGAGUGUCGGAGGGGUACAUGGAAUUGAUGGUGUAGCGGUGAAAUGCAUAGAUACCAUCAGGAACACCGAUAGCGAAGGCAUUGUACUGGCCGACAACUGACGCUGAUGCACGAAAGUGUGGGGAUCGAACAGGAUUAGAAACCCGAGUAGUCC